GAUGAAGAACGCAGCGAAAUGCGAUAAGUAGUGUGAAUUGCAGAAUUCAGUGAAUCAUCGAAUCUUUGAACGCACAUUGCGCCCAUUGGUAUUCCAAUGGGCAUGCCUGUUCGAGCGUCAUUUGUACCCUCAAGCUUUGCUUGGUGUUGGGCGUUUGUCUUUCGAGACUCGCCUUAAAAAGAUUGGCAGCCGGCAUACUGGUUUCGGAGCGCAGCACAAAUUGCGGUCUGUUCCUGAAUGUUGACGUCCAUGAAGCCCCCAUUAUCACUUUUGACCUCGGAUCAGGUAGGGAUACCCGCUGAACUUAAGCAUAUCAAUAAGCGGAGGA
RNAcentral lists this unclassified non-coding RNA (328 nucleotides) under soil metagenome. RNAcentral describes it as "partial contains 5.8S ribosomal RNA, internal transcribed spacer 2, and large subunit ribosomal RNA". The stretch from base 1 to 120 matches the Rfam family "5.8S ribosomal RNA", at positions 35 to 154 of the family's 154-position model. The record is from RNAcentral.